GAACCCAGCUCCCAUAUACGGAAAAUAUUGUGGAAAUAGAUUUCAUCUUCUCCAAGUGUCAGUUGUGAAUCCGAAUUUUAGCUCCUAUACCACUACAAACAAUUUCGUGGAUGACCUGUGAAAUAAGCCGUUUUAUGAUGAUCGCCAGGCUGUUCCUUGUGCUUUGCGUCGUCUCUAGUGCAUGGGCACUAUGCCCGACGAAAUGUACGUGUUUCUUGGACUACAAAGGACGAAACGCAGUGGUCUGCAAAGAUGGCGGAAUGGUGGGACCCUUGAAUUUAAACAACGUCAGUCUGGAGACCGAAGUUAUCAAAAUAACCGCUCCAGAUGACAAUAUGAAUUCACUUACUAUGAGUCCGGUGUUUCAAAGCUAUAAACAGCUCGAAGAGAUACAUAUUACGAAAUCUAACAUACCCCAACUGGGAAUGCACUUUUUCUACGGACUCAACAAACUAGACGUAUUAAAUUUAUCCCAAAAUAAUAUAACGCAGCCUCUGGACCACAACUUUCGUGGAUUGUCGCAUCUGAAGGAGCUGUAUCUGGACGACAAUCGGAUUAUUUCCUUACCUAGCGGGACGUUUAGGUAUUUACAUGGGCUUAAACUUUUGUCGAUACAAAGAAAUAGAAUCGAAGAACUUACUCCGAGGAUAUUUUUAGAGAUUAGUAAACUGAGAAUGCUGAAGCUUAGCGGAAACAACUUGAGGGAGUUGCAUCCUGAAGUUUUUAAGGAUAUACAGGAGCUCACCUAUCUUGAAUGCCGUGGCUGUGCCUUAACCACAUUGAACAACGAAAUCUACCACCUCCUGCCAGAUCUAAUUCACUUAGACCUAGGUAAAAACGAAAUUAAGAAUAUUUCCCAAAACGAUUUCCAGAAUCUCCUAAGUUUGCGACAUCUUAAGUUAGAUAGUAAUAUGCUAUAUUCAAUAGACAUCUCGACAUUUUCCUCUCAAGCAGCUUUGAGAAAACUUAGUUUAUCGAAUAAUAAAAUAAAAAAAAUAUCACCUGGAUCAUUUUCUGAGAAUCAUAAUUUGACUGAGUUGGAUGUGAGUUACAAUAGAGUAGAUGAUAUGAGCUUUUUAGAACCUUUGUAUGAUAUUUUGGAAAAGUUGGACCUUAGCGGGAAUCACUUACGUACUGAAUUAUUAACAGCACUGAUAAAUUUGAACAGUUUAAAGGAACUAAAAUUGGCUGAUUGUGGAUUGGCUCAAAUAAAUGCUGAAGUGAUUCCUAAAAGUGUCUCUGUCCUAGAUUUGAGUGAAAACUAUUUGUCGUCUUUAAAUAAAAACAUCUUACCCCCAAAUCUUACAACUUUAGAUAUAUCUGGUAAUCGAUUCAGAGGUUUAGAGGAAGAUAUUUUGCUUUACUUAGAUAACACGCAGAAUAUUAAACUCGGCCACAAUUUAUGGUCUUGCGAUUUGUGCCAUAUCGUCCCUAUGCUGGAAAGAACGAACAAAAGUGCAGUGUUCCGUGAUGUAACGUGCUCAGCGCCGUACAUAUUUAAAGGCAAAAAGCUCGAAAAGAUCCAACGUAAUGAGCUCACCUGGUGCAGUUCUGCCAGUUACACAGCGAGUGAUGCCAACUUUUUUUCAUUGGGCGAGGACGGGAAAGUAGGGAUUAUCGCAGCUAGCACUUCGGUGUUUCUACUUCUUCUAACCGCAUUCGCAAUAAUCGGCGCAUUGUGCUACGCUAAUCGACAUGCAGCCCGAUACUACACCCACGAGGAUAAAAUAGCCACUAUCGAAGGGGAAUCGAUUUUCGCCAGUAAUCACAGCCCAUUGUUUUGUGAUGGGGAACUCAACUUUAAGUUUCCGCUGGAUAUGGAGGAGAAGAAAAUUUCCAUAGCUACUAUUGAUGAGAUUAAAAAAGAGCAUGCGAUUACCAAUGGGACUUGAACGGAGUUAUAGUCCGGUAGUUGUGGUAUUUAGGUAUGAAAUAAGUGUUCAAAAAUUGUAACAUAAAGAAGAUGCUAAUUAUUCAGAAUUAUAAGGUUAGAAUUAUAAUUUUUUAGAAUCAUCAUUUUUAUAAGAUAGAAGAUAUUUAUUAUGAUAUUUAAGAAGAUUAAAUAUAUUUACAUGAAAAGCAAAAUAUUUUUCUCCUCUGAUAAAAUUAUUCUAGGUCAAUAUUUGGACUCAUAAAGCUUCUAUCCGGUUCACCUGAAAUGUUUCAUAUACACAUAAAAUGUUCACCUGGGAGUAAGAUAGGCAGACAAAACUUCUUCCGUGUCAAGUUGUCCAGUAAUGCUAGUUUUUAAACCUAUUCCAAAUUCAUCGACAAACGUGUUUAGCGAUGAAAUUUGUUUAGAUUAUGAACAGAGUGCUUCAUUCUGCAAUAUACUCAACACAAACUCAGACCAAUUCGCCUGUACAUUUUUCAUUUGAAUUUCUUGUAUUCAAACCAUCAUUCUUAAAAGUUUUGUGUACCAGGAAAAGUGAUGCAGAUGCCAAUAAUUAUCGGCCGUCAUAUUCAACAGUGACGAACUGACUUUUUUCUUUAUCUCAGUACAGACUCCUUCUUUGUCAACCUCUACUUUUUGUUGGGGCCAAUCAUUUUCGUUUCUGUACAACCAUUACGGGCCCUCCCACCAUCGAGUUUGGUACAAUUGCCUAAAACUUUCAGCCUCUUGAUGGACGAUCAGCAGGGCUGAGAGAACCAGUUACAUAUUUCUAAUGCUCAGGAUCGGCUAAAUUUCUAACCUACUGAACUUUAUUAAGAGCUAAAAUAGACCAGUCAUCCUUACAUUGAAUCCAACAAAGAACAGUAGUGUAAUCAUACCAAAAACAAGACAUCAGCAUACUGAGAAAAGUUUCAUCUACUAAGCAGAACGCAAUGAAGAUGGUCUGAUCUAGAUCGAAAACGUUUUGCGAAUCCUUUUGGAUGACAUUUUAAUAGUUUUUAAAUAAACUUUUGGGUAAUAAUUGUACAGGGUAAUAAUUGUUCAAACGAAGUUUUUACUUCUAUAUGAAUUGUAAUAAUAAACCUUAUAAUACAAGAAAAAGUGCAGGGAAAGAGUUGGAUUGGUCGAAAGAAACCUUCAUGGUUGCGUAAUAUUAGACAAUGGUGUGGUUCCACGGUAGAAGAAUUAUUUCGCGCAGCAGCUGAUAGAAAGAGGUUUCAGGAAGUUGUAAACAUGAUGACGGCCAACCUCUGAAUACGGACACAUGAAGAAGAAGAAUAAUAAACACUGAAAAGUUCAAAAUUUUAAAAUGACGUUUAAUAUUGUGUAUUUUGACUCAAUAUAAUGAAUAUUGAGAAUUGAAUAUUCAAUAAACAUUGAUAACAAAAUCAUUCAAUAAAAAAAUAUCUUUAUUUUUUUAGUAUACUUGAUCGGACUAUCUCGCGAAACAAAAAAAGAGAUAAUGGAUUGGCGAUGUAGCUACGGGAUACACCAAAACGAUUCUAUUCAGUUCUGUGUCUUUAUAGAGUUACUUUAUUUACAAAAUUUAGCUUUAUUUAGACCGAGAUAGUCGAAGUUAGCUCUUUUCGGCCUUUUAUGAACGUGUAAAUGGAAAACUUUUGUUUUUUUUUUGAAAUCUCGACGGCUUUUUUGGUUGGUAGAUUACUUUGGCAUUAUUUCACAUAUUUCCUUUUUAUGCUGAAUCAAUGCUCAGCUGAGGAGAUCAGACAGUCCUUGGUUCACAAAGGAUGGAAAAAAAUGGCAAGUAGGAUAUUAAUUUAGAAUCAAGCUAAACUGAAUAGUGACAGAUAUAGAUGCAAUAAAACAUAGUCCUGGUUUAUUAAUAUUGAACAAAAAAUUAAAAAUAUUUUUUGCUCAUAGAAAUUAACUUAUGAAAGUAUAAAUAAAUAUCUAACACAUAUUAUUAAAAAUUAGUCCAGCAAAUCUCCAAAAACAAGUGAAAUUGAUGUCAUUAUCUCCAUCUUUUAAAGCUUUUUAUAAGAUCUUUUACAAUUGUCUUAACUUUUAUAAAAUUAGUUUAUAUAUUUCUAUUUCUAUUAACCUUAUUCUUCUUCUUUAAAUAUCGUACGCGUUUAACAUCUAUACAGGGUGCCGGACGUAAACAAAACAGGCAUUAUCAGAAGCUGCAACAACAUUUUUCAGAUAUUUUCGAUUAUUUUACUUUCACUUCUAAGCCAGGGUGGGAAUCACUCCAAAACUUGAAAUGGUAAUGGGGGUCUUCUUCUUCUUAACUCAGGCGAGACUCGUUAGUCUCUGGCACUUGGUCAUGUACCAAACCCUGUUCUUCUCCUUAAACUUUAAUAAGUCCUGUGACCUCAACGAAUGCCAACAGAUUUCUUAUUGGUAGUUUUAGGAUCUCUUCUGGUUCAAACCUCAUUUGGCCAGUGAAGUCCUGCCUUACAUCAGCUAGCACACUGCAAUGGCAUAGUAUGUGUAUCCCAGUCUCUUCUUCCAUUUCGCACUUUCUGAACCAUGGUUCAUUCACCUUACCUAGUUUGGAUAUAGGUGCUUUCUUAAACGGAAAUGUCCAGUCACCAUUUCAGUGACCGUUUUGAUCUCUCGUUUAUUGAGGUUCAUCAAACUGUUUGAGAGUUUUUUUUUUCAAUAUUCUUGAUUUUUUUUUUAGUCUGGAUUUGCUCUUGAGUGGUUCUCCAUUUAUUUUGAUGAUUCUUUAUCAGCCAUUUCUGAACCUCAUUUUUCAUAGCAUCUUUAGUGAUGCCACAGAAAGGUUCUGGGCCUUCAAAAGUUUCUCUCGAGCCUUGUUUCGCUAACAUAUCUGCUCGUUCGUUCCCAUGCACCCCUUCAUGACCCGGCACCAACUAUUAAAGACACUUUAUUGUCUUUUGCUAGGUUAUUGGGGAGAUCUUUGCAGUUUCUCACCAGUCUUGAUUUGGUGUGAGGGCUCUUUACAGCCAGAAUAGCCGAUUGGCUAUCUGUGUAAAUGUUGAUUCUCUUAGCUUUAGGGUCUUCAUCAAUGAUUUCAUCAAUGCAGGCCACCAAAGCAAAAACUUCAGCCUGGAACACCGUUGUAUGUUGACCUAGGCUGUAAGAUUUAUUAUAGUUACAUGUUUGCCCAAAGACUCCUGAUCCAGUACCAUAGAUCCAUCAGUGAACCAUAUUAAGUUCCCAUUAAUAGUUGGGACUUUUUGUUCUCUAGCUAGAUGGUAUAAUUGUGUUAAUCUUCUCAGUGAAGAUUAGUUCUGGUGUCAUCAUAUCUGAGUUCAUCAUAAAGAUGGAUUCCUCAAGUAUAGUCCCAGUAAUGUUUGUGUGGCUAUUCAAUGUUUGCUUUGAGUCUCAGGAUGGUCAUAAAGGCUACCGCCGAAAUAUAUAAUUCCAGCGGAGGGAGACCUAUGAUAGCCUCUAAUGAAGCCGUUCCUGUACUAUUCAAGGCUUUUGUUAUAUUUAGAAGUGCUUGUCUUUGUAGUGUGGUGAGAGUGGUCACACAAGAUUGGAAAGCCGUCUUUCUCCACCAGAGUACUGACCCAUAAGUGACCGUCGGUCGUAUCACUGAUGUGUAUAAUCAACAGAUCAACUUUGGUUUUCAAUCUCCAGGUUUUACUUACAACUCGUCUGCAGUUUCAGAAAAGUCGCUUAGCCCUAUUGGUUAUAUUGGUAAUAUGAGUAUUCCAAUUGAGUUUCGAAUCCAGGGUUACCCCUAGAUACUUAAACUCAUUGGUUCUUUCCAGUACCUCUCCAAAUAAUUUCUGCUCACUCAGUCCAGUAAGCUUCCUCUUAUUUGUACUUGCUACCAGUUUAGUUUUAGAAGGGUUUACGGAGAGGUUCUCUUUCAGACACCAGUUCUCUAUUUAGUGAAGGGCAUAUCGCAUCUGAUCCAGAACAGUGCUGGGAAAUUUUCCCGUAGUUACUAUUACAAUAUCUUCUGCGAAACCCUGGACCCAGAUUCCUUGGGCACUUAGCCCAUGAAUCAGAUCAUCGACAACUAUGUUCCAUAAUGGGAAUCAAAUAAGAUAAGUAUGGUUUGAAAGCCCUUGCGAUUCCCUAUACGUGAGUCUUUAAAUUUUUCAAUUCAGUCCAGUACUUGUUGAUCUUCUGUCUCUUGGUCUUCUCGAUCUCUUAGCCUUAUUUCGUUCAUUUUUGAACUCAGGCUUCUCCCAACUCCGCUCAUCGAUCUGUAUCCUGAGCUACAUACUUCUAAUUUGUUCUGACUAUUUUUUUAAAGUCAUCUGCCCACCUCAUCUGUGGUCUUCCUCUUUGUCGUAUACCUUUGUAAGGUCUCCAUUGUUGUAUUGUAGCGCUCUACUAUUGGUAUAUUGUUGUUGUAUUGAAGCAUUUGAGGUUUACAAUUUUUGUUGUGGUAUCCUCGACUCGACUUUUGUUUUUCUUCUGUAUAUCUGUACACUUUCUAUUGCCCUUUCCGUUGUGGUGUGUUUAUCAUUAUUUGCCUUAGUUAGGGUCCAGGUUUGACAUACAUAUAUCGUGAUAGAAAGAAUACACUGGCUGAGUACUUUGCACCUCAAGUAUUCAGAUAUUUUGCGGCGCUGAAGUAUCCAAGGCAGAUACGAGCUACUCCAGUGCAUUUUACAAGGUAAAAUUGAAGGAAAAAGGGCCCCAGAACGAAGAAGAAUAUCCUGGCUUGCUAACCUGAGAGCAUGGUAUAGAAAGACCUCAACACAACUAUUCCGUAUAGCAACCAACAAAGUCAUCAUAGCCAGAAUGAUCGCCAACGUUCGGAACGGACAGGUACCCUAGGAAGAAGAAGAAGUAUCCAACUGAGUUCCAAAUCCUGCUUAUGCCAGUCUUACUCUUUUAGUGAUCUUCGCACUUUGGUUCUCUUUGUCGAGUUUUAGAAUUUGGCAUAGGAUGGCUAUUCUUGGACUCUUUCUAUCUCAUUGUCAUUUAUAGUUAUCUCAUCGUCUGGAGUCGUCUGUGUUUGUCAUUGUUACGUUGUUCAUUACGAAUUCCUCCGCCAUAGUUUCUAGUUCCUCUAAUGUACUCGCUAUAAUCACGAUGUCUUCAGCGAAUGUGGGGUAGUUUAACUUAUUGCCAUAAAUGUUGUUAUCAUAUGUUGAACAAUCUGUAUUUUUAGAGACUAGUUGUAUACCAUAUCUUAGAAUAGUUAUUUCCGACAGAAAAAAGUUGUAGUAAUACUUAUAUCGGUAUUGUUUUGAUAAAUAGUAUUUUUUCACUAUCAACGAAGAUAUUCAUAUUUUUCCACUGAAACAAGAAAAGUCAGUUAUAAACUCAUCUAAAUUAACCCAGUGUAACUUAAAAACUAACCAUCCAACUGAGUUUAAAUUUUGAUCGGUGAUUUUUUCAGGUUUGUACAUAAAAGAUUUGUCACUAUUGGCAUCAACUAUGUAUUAGAUCCGAGACAUAGGGCUUUUCAUCGAUUGCCAUUUGUUCCGAGCUUCUGUAAUAAAUCGUCUAAUAUUAAUAUAUCUACGUCAUACGUUAUUGGUAUAUAUGUCGGUUCGCUAAACUCAGACACAAGUGGCUAGUGAUUUUAGUCGGAUAUUUUUUGUUUUUGGCCAAUUUGGCAAAAUUACUUACUAAAAUCACUAACCAGUUGUGUCCGAGUUUGGCGAACCGACUAUACCAAUGAUAUUCUUGUUCUCAUGAUCAUUUUUCAGUGCGUCAUUAAUUAUGACGUCACAUACUGUAUUGGGUGUGUCGAGACUUAUUUCAUGUAAUUAUUGACGAAUCUGACAGAUGCCAGAAUCGUACUUCGCCAUAGGUGAAAAGCUUGUGGAAUUAAACUAAUUAGUAAUUUAGUAGAUUUGAUUUUUACACAAUAUGUUAACAUGUAGGUAUUUUUUAUAAAGGGGAAUAAAAUUAAAAAGUAAACAAUAUUGUUAAUUAAAUUUAUAAAUAUGGAAACAUUAAAAAAUGACACAAAACUAUCCAUAAACUGUGUUAUUAUCUUCUUCUCUAGGUGCUGUCUCCGCUUCAAAAGUUGGCAAUCAUCAGAGAGAUCUUUAUUUCUGAAACCGCGGCUCUAAAUAAUUCAUUGUUAUUACAUCCAAAUCAGUUCCUAAGGUUCUUCAGCCAUGAGUUACGUCUCCUUACUAUGGAUCUUUUUUUUUGCAUAAUGACCUGGAGUAUUAGAUAUACAUCUCUCAUCACAUAUCCCAUAUAUCUCAGUUUUCUUCUUAUUUGUUAGUUCUUCUCGUUCCCUAUGCGUAAGUCUCAUUACCUUCACGUUGGCUAUUCUAUCUACUCAUGAGAUUUUUAGCACUCUUCGGUACAUCUCGAAUGUCUCUAGUCUCCUCACGCCAAUGACUAACUUUUAACGAACUAAAUUCUAAACCAAAACACAAAAUAAUGCACAAAAACGUUGUGAAACACAAGGGAAGUCGAAUUCGAAUUUCAAAAUGACAGGUACACAAAAUACUGACCUGAAUAAUAACCGUCACUUGACUCUUUGACACUUCUAAAAAAUGGCCAAAAUGGACGAAGUUUUCGUCAAAUGUUCGUAAUACGAGUAUUUGAUUGGCUAGAAAAAACGCGCAUUCUAAAUAUCAACGAAUCAAACGUAGGUUAGGAAUAGACAUCUUAUGUAUAUAACCAUUGUAAUGCUGCAUUAUUUUUGUGUUUAAUCACGGAGCUACCGCUUUUUCCAUCUCAUCUAACUUAAUGCAUUAGAGAGAAAUCUAAAAACUGUGACGCAGUGAAAAAUGAUCAUGAGAACAAGAAUACAAACCAAAGACGUAUGACGUAGAUAUCUUAAUACUAUACGACACUUGACAGAAGCUCGAAACAAAUGACUGUGAAUGAAAAGCCCUAUUGACAAAGCGUUAAUAAAAAUUACAUGUUAUCGCAAAUCACGAAAUCCUAAAUUUCUUAAGUCAAUUAAAAAAUUAUUCAGAAAGUAUAUAAUAUUAUAUUUUUAUUAGUAAAUUAUUUUUUAAUAAUUAAUACAGAUAUUAGUAUUUUUCUGUAAUGGUAUUUUCAUAAAUGUUCGAGUUAAAUAGAAAAUUAAAAGAAGUUGUCGUUGCAAGGUCUAUUGCAUUCAUAAUAUAUUGGAUGUUUUUUUAAAGCAGAUAUGAGUGACAGAGUCAAGAAGUCAGUGUUAUUCCACAUAGCUUUACAGCUCACCUUUCACUUUAACGAAGCUCUCCACAAAUAGAAAUUGUUCAACGUGAUUGUGAUGGGAUGAGUCGGAGACCUCGAGAAAGGUUUCUUGACUGCACUACCGUUACACCACUUGUUUUCAUCCAAGGCUUAUUUGAGUUUUCCGAUCAGGCCUGCAUGCCAAACCAGAUAAAAAGCUAUAUGGACAUCUAGAAAGAUGCCUAAUAAUGAAUAUUGCGGCUUCUAUCCAUACGUUAUGUGCGCUGUGACCAUCUCUGAAUCCAAAUUGGAUAUCGGGAAUAAUGUGGAAUUCCUCUAGAUCUUCUAGGACUCUUUCUGGAAGGUGUUUCAUGGUUUAUUGAUGAUGAUUGUGCUGGGUAUUUUCUGGGUGAUAGAAAAAUAUUUCAGCGGUACUUUACUCCAUUACUCCGGCCUCCAUUACUUAGCCUCCUGAUAGUAUCUGUGUCAACUGGUUCAACUAUCGGAACCUUAAUGUUAUGAAAUCUCGCUAAGACUUUCACCUCUUUAAGGUGGGGCUGCUCUCUUCUUUGUUUCCGGGAGCGUGGAAUGUGGAUGAGCAAUGUUCAGGUCAAGAGAUUUGUAGAUGGGUUUUGGGGUUAGUUGUUUAGUCCGUUUUUUUUUCUGAAAAAAUAUUUCAGCGGUACUUUUGCCUCCAUUACUUAGCCUCCUGAUAGUAUCUGUGUCAACUGGUUCAACUAUCGGAACCUUAAUGUUAUGAAAUCUCGCUAAGACUUUCACCUCUUUAAGGUGGGGCUGCUCUCUUCUUUGUUUCCGGGAGCGUGGAAUGUGGAUGAGCAAUGUUCAGGUCAAGAGAUUUGUAGAUGGGUUUUGGGGUUAGUUGUUUAGUCCGUUUUUUUUUUCUGAAGGAGGAGAAGCCAAGUUGUCAAGUUGAGAGAAUAACAGUACCUCGGAUUUUACCAACUAUACAUUAUUAACGGCUCUUGAUCGGUUGAUAACUACUUGUCAUCGACGAUGACAACUAGUUUUUAAGACCUCUUUAUGAAUGGAGUGUUCUUCCAGAGAAACCUUCUUCUUCUUCUUCUUCUUCGCGCGACUAGGAUUACUCCUGUUUGUCUGCCUCUUAUUCUGUUUCAGUUGUUGUUGACUGUACAUUGUCUUUCCACCUUUUCGGCGGCCUUCCAACGGGUCUUCUGCUAUACGGCUUGUUGUUUUUACAGAUGUUCGCUAGUUUAUCUGGUUUCAUCCGGUUUACAUGUUCGUUCCAGAUUUUCUUUCUUGUUUUUAUCCACCUGUUAAUAUUUUGAAUUUUGCAUCGUUCUCGUAUACUUCUGUUGCUUUGUCUGUCUCUUAAUGAUAUGCCCGCUAUUGAUCUUAAUACUUUCAUUUCGAUAUUGUUGAUUUGUUGUUUCGCUUUCUUGUAUCGGUCCUUGUCUCCGCUGCAUAUCUUAGGAUAGGUCUUACUGUUGUCUUGUAUACUUUUAUUUUGCUUUCCGUGGUCAGAUAUUUGUUUCUCAAUAUGGUUUCUCGGAGGCAAUCACUUACUCUUGCCGCUUUUGUUGCUUGUGUUGUGGUCUCUGUUCUUAUAUUCCUGUCACUAGUAAUCUCUACUCCUAGGUAAUUGAAUUUCAUUACUUGUUCUACAAUUUUGGCGUCUAUUUCUAACUUGCAUCUACGCGGCUCUUUACUUAUCACUCACUAUACAUUUAGUUUUUUCUACUGAUAUUCUCAUAUUAAGUUUAUUUGCUGUCAUAUUGAAAGUGUGGACCUGCCUUUGUAGGUCAUCCUCGUUAUCAGCAAUUAGUACUGCAUCAUCGGCAUAUCAUAGUAUCGUGAUUUUAUGCGCUCCCAUGUGAUAUCCAUGUCGUUUUCUUACUUUGAUUCAUCACCAUAUUGAAUAACAACGAGCUGAGCGAGUCUCCUUGGCGGAUUCCUCCUUUUAGUUCUAUGCAUUAUGUUUCUCCUGUUGACAUUAUAACUCUGGUCUUGUUGUUCUUGUUAAUUUCAUUAAUUAGCCUUAUUAUCUGGUGGUCUAUUUGUUCAGCUUGUAAUAAAUUUAAGAUAUCAUUUCGCCUCACCCUGUCAAAAGCACUUUUUAAAUCUACAAAGAACAUGUAUGCUGGUUUUUCAUAUUCAAUAGACUUUUCUACUAUUUGCCUGAUAAUAAAAAUUGCAUCUAUUGUGCUGCGGUUCUUCCGGAAGCCUUGUUGUUCAUCUGCCAUAUUCGCUUUUUCCUCCGUUUUAUCUUUUAUGACUGCCGUCAACAAUUUUAAUGUGCUGUUCAUCAGACUAAUGCCUCUAUAAUUUUCAGGAUUUUUCGAGUCUCCCUUUUUGAGUAUUGGUAGCAGGAGACUUUAAUUCCAUUCCGCUGGUACUACUCCGAUAUUUAUUAUAUCGACAAAUAAUUUUCGGAGCCAUUUGAGUAGUUAACCUCCUCCAUAUUUUAGCAGUUCAUUAUUUAUCUUAUCAGGACCAGGUGCUUUUCUAUGAGAAACCAGAGUCUCUCAUUGAGAAUCCUACCGUAGACCUUUCUUAAACUGUUUAGAAGAGAUACUGGUCUAUAGGAUUCUGAGCUGGUUAGGGGUUUCCGUGGUUUGGGAACCAUAAACCACUAUAGGAUGAUAGUUUUCCCUUAAGUAGGCCUAAAACCCUGGAAUGAACAAAAAUAAAAGACUCGUUGGUGCUAUAUUGUUUCUCACCGCAGAAUGUAGCAAAUUGCUUUUAAAUUGGUUUUUUGUAGUUUCGGUUAUACAUUUUUUAGAGAACUUUGUAUAUUGUCAUAAAAAAACGUUCCAAAGUAUGAAUAGUUUGUGGAAGAGUAAAGUUGUGUGGAGUCUGAAACUAUGUCAGUUUUUAAAUAUAAAUAUCUGAUACUAGAGUUUUGCAAGAGAUCUUGUAACGAAAAUAUGACAAGAUUUAAUGCAUUUAAAUAUUUAUGUAUUAAUAAAUCGUGCCAACAGCAUAUAUUAUGCCAUUUUGAACUAUAAUAUACCACUAGAAUUCCCCAAAGUGUGUUCCAAAAUUAUUGAUCUGUGACAUAUUGGAUUUGUAAUUUUCUGUGGAAAAAGAUAUCACACAUAGUAUAAAAAAUUUGGAUCUAAACGUUGAUUUUAGUCUUCAAAGAAACUUACAAAUCCAAUUUUUUACAUUUACCCCAGAAACAGAGGAGCCACUCUGCAGCUCUGCUGAGUGGAGCCACAAAGUGGCUUAGACAGGCGAUUUUGCAGCCCCAAUGAUUUUGUAAUGGACGCCACUAGCAGCGAGGAUCGGCAACAGUGGCUGGCCACUACGCUGGCCAUUGUCGCUCUUGGAAUGGCACGUUUAAUUUACAUAAGAAUUUACCGCUAAUCAUCGGAAGCGACCUUGUGGCGCCACAGAGUACUGCUGCAGAGUGGUUUGUCUGUUUCUUCGCUUACUCUGUAGCAUAGAUUAUUAUGAUUGGAAGAACAGAGUUGACCAGGCUCAGGUCCUCGAGUACCUCCUGUUACCUCGAGUAGUAUUGCGUGGAGUAAUAUUUUUUUGUAUAGUUUUAAAAUUAGAGAAAUGUAAAACAUUAUUUGUAAAUGUAAAUAUGUCUUUUUGCUAUUGUAAUUCCAUUUCAGAUGCUUCUACUAUGAAACAGUUUGUAUUUCGCGUUGUAUCUAUUUCCAUCUUCCCCUAUCUCAACUCUUUAAAGUUAGUAUGUCUCAAUAUUUUUUUAAAGAAGAAUUAUGCCUUGUUAGUAGUAGUUUAUUCUCUACUACGAUGGAUAUACGAGAAGAAAGAUAACUAUUUCACAAGUUAUACUCUCUUGAAUAAGCGGUACACAACUUAAGGAAAAAUACGACAACUUUAAUGUCCCUAGAAAAGUGAAAGAGAUGAGAGGUAGACACAGACAGAGAUAAAAAAAACAAUAUUAAAAAAGAAAGAAAUAAUAAUAACGAAAUCAUAAUAGAUAGUGAAAAUCAUAACAAAGGAAAAUCUGGAGAAGUGGAAAGAAUGACACUUUUUGACGAUAAUAGAUCUUCUGCUCCCCCAUCCACUAAUGAUCGAAUUAAAAAUAUCCAGAAGUAACCAGAGAAGUCAUUCAUGCAAUAAAAGCUCAGAAAAAUGGAAAAUCCGCCAGUCCCGACAAAAUGAAGAUUGAACUAUUUAAUCUAACAAUAAAACACUGAAAACGUUUGUUUUCUAUACUUGCACAAAAUUUAUUAUAACUAAGUGACUACAGCUGUUUCUGCAGAGUGCCUUUCUCAAGUGAUUUAGUUUACUAUGGGUUUGCCUUUUUAAAGUCUUUAACUGAAGAGGUUGAGGAGUGGGGAGCUGUUUGUCUCGAGUUGGUCAUUCAGAAUUAUAUCUGUAUUUUUUAAUUUAUUAAUUUCCAUAGAUUCUAAUAAAGAUAGCUUAAGGCCUUUAUUUUGAAUAUGCAAAAUUUGAAACUCUUCAUUAAAAGAAUGUUUAUGAUCUAGAAGGUGAAGUUCGUAUGUAGAAGUGUCUGUUUUUCUAUUGUUGAAAGCCCUUUUGGUCAAAGGUUCUGCCAGUUUGACCGAUGUAAGUUUUCGGACAGUCACCACAAGUUAGUUUGUAGACACCACUCAGUAGUUGUUUUCUCUUUCGGCUCUUAUUGUUCUUAAUAUAUUUGCUUAAGUUGUGGUUAGUUUUGAAAGCUGGUGUUAUUCCGUUCUUUUUUAUGUAUCUGGCUAUUUUUGUUGUUAUCUUGCCAGUAAAUGUGAUAGAGCAGAAGGUACUGGGUUCUUUCUGUGGUGGUGGAUAAACUAAUUUCAGGGCUUUCUUAUGGAGUUUUUGGUUUAAAAUUUUAUUAAUUGUUUGUUCGUUAUAGCCAUUGUUCACUGCUAUUUGUUUAAUGAUGUUCAGUUCUAUUUCGAAGUUAUUUUUUGACAUGGGAAUUUCUGUCAGUCUAUGUAUCAUGCUAUGGUAGGUAUGCUCCCAUGUCAAAAAAUAACUUCGAAAUAGAACUGAACAUCAUUAAAUAAAUAGCAGUAAACAAUGGCUAUAACGAACAAACAAUUAAUAAAAUUUUAAACCAAAAACUCCAUAAGAAAGCCCUGCAAUUAGUCUAUCCACCACCACAGAAAGAACCCAGUACCUUCUGCUCUAUCACAUAUACUGGAAAGAUAACAACAAAAAUAGCCAGAUGCAUAAAAAAGAAAGGAAUAACACCAGCUUUCAGAACUAACAACAACUUAAGCAAAUAUAUUAAGAACAAUAAGAGCCGAAAGAGAAAACAUCUACAGAGUGGUGUCUACAAACUAACUUGUGGUGACUGUCCGAAAACUUACAUCGGUCAAACGGGCAGAACCUUUAACAAACUGAUAGCAGAACACAAAAGGGCUUUCAACAAUAGAAAAACAGACACUUCUACAUACGCACUUCACCUUCUAGAUCAUAAUCAUUCUUUUAAUGAACAGUUUCAAAUUCUGCAUAUUCAAAAUAAAGGCCUUAAACUAUCUUUAUUAGAAUCUAUGGAAAUUAAUAAAUUAAAAAAUGCUGAUAUAAUUCUGAAUGACCAACUCGAGACAAACAGCUCCCCACUCCUCAACCUCUUCAGUUAAAGACUUUAAAAAGGCAAACCCAUAGUAAACUACAACACUUGAGAAAGGCACUCUGCCAAAACAGCUGUAGUCACAUAGUUGUAAUAAAUUUUGUGGAAGUAUAGAAAACACACGUUUUCAGUGUUUUAUUGUUAGAUAAAAUGAACUUCUAUCAAGUAACUGUCGAAUCCAUCAAUUAUGAACUAUUUAAAUUAAUUGCAGACAACGAAAGUAAAAGCCUAGGAUUUAUAAGAUAUAUGAUACGGGUAAGAUACCAUUAGACUCGUUGUUCUCGAGUUAUCUGGAAACUUCCCUACUUCUACUGGUGAGUCACUAGAAUUUUCGCGAAAGUAUAGUAGCUAUCAAAUUAGUGCAGUAAACCUUAAUCUUAAGCUUAUUACAAAAUCAUUGGCAUUUGAAUGGUUUGGUUACGUUUCCGGCACAGGUAGAAAGUAAUAAAUAUUAAUCUAUUGUACAUUUAAUGUUCACCUCUCGAAACUUAACUACACCACACAAAUACAAAUGACUCUGUAAUAGGAUUAAGAUACGGUUUGCUGAAAUAAUUUGUGGGCAAACAUAGACUCAAAAAUCAGUCUGACAAUUUUUAAAAAAUAUUUUACAUCGAACAAACAAAAAGAAAGCCCAGGAACGAUUUCUAAAAUAUAAAUGUCCAUUUUAAUACAAAGAGGAUAUUUCGUCUGUAAUACAACAUCGUAUAUUGUUAAACGUUUUCUUUUGUUAAAACAUAGUUCAUUUCUUUUAUUUUUAAAAAUAUUGAGACAUAGACACUGUAUAGUAAAUGUACUUAAGAAGGCACUAAAUUGUUAUUAGUGCGUGAAUGUUGUUUGAAUUAUGUAUAAGAUUUAUAUCGAUACUUUUACCAUUUAAGCAUACCUAUUUUUUACGAUAAUUUUUAAGAUUUUUAAGACUUCUUAUAUAUGUAUACUAUUUUAUUUAUGUACAAAAAUGACUGUAAAUUGUUUAAAUAAAUUUAAUGUUUUGUA
Molecule: unclassified non-coding RNA, 15458 nt
Filed under: Diabrotica virgifera virgifera (western corn rootworm)
Lineage: Eukaryota; Metazoa; Arthropoda; Insecta; Coleoptera; Chrysomelidae
Description: leucine-rich repeat-containing protein 15-like
Source: RNAcentral